This 406-nucleotide ribosomal RNA is filed under the name uncultured bacterium. RNAcentral describes it as "partial 16S ribosomal RNA". It matches the Rfam family "Bacterial small subunit ribosomal RNA", at positions 29 to 526 of the family's 1533-position model. The record is from RNAcentral.
AUUGAACGCUGGCGGCAGGCCUAACACAUGCAAGUCGAACGAGUGGCGGACGGGUGAGUAAUGUCUGGGAAACUGCCUGAUGGCGGGGGAUAACUCCUGGAAACGGUAGCUAAUACCGCAUACCAUCGGAUGUGCCCAGAUGGGGUUAGCUAGUAGGUGGGGUAACGGCUCACCUAGGCGACUAUCCCUAGCUGGUCUGAGAGGAUGACCAUGCACACUGGAACUGAGACACGGGCCAGACUCCUACGGGAGGCAGCAGGGGGGAAGAUUGCACAAGGGGCGCAAGCCUGAUGCAGCCAUGCCGCGUGUAUGAAGAAGGCCUGCGGGGUGUAAAGGACUUUAAGCGGGGAGGCGUUACCCGCAUAAGAAGCACCGGCUAACUCCGUGCCAGCCGCCGCGGUAAUAC